UAUUUUCCUUCACUGGUUCACACCGAAACCCUAGCCUCCGUCUUCUUCUGCCAUCUGAGAGGUUCUACAAUCUUUUCUUUGCUAAAACCCUAGAUAUCUCUACUACUGUGCUUCCUCAGAUCAUAUUGGAUAUUCAAAAAUUUCUCUUCAUCUCAAUCACCAUCGAUUAUGUGGAUUUGAGGUCAUAAUUUCAUCGAAAAACUAAUGUUUUGUUGUAAUUCUUCUCUACUUGCAGACAUCCAACACGGAUUUUACAUGAAGAUCUGAAAACUAGGACAAAAUGCCCUAGCCGCCCCUUCAGCUUAUACGGCUAGGGUUCCGGUCAUUAGUCAUCCGUUUUUCGCUUUAGAAUCCAUGGUGUUUAGGUAUCCCCAAAUUAUUGUUUGUUAUAUUGAUUUUUAUUGUUUGCAAAUAGUGUGUUUGUUGGUUUGUGAUCUUAUAACCAGUACCCAAAGGAUAAAGAUUGAAAAUUUAUGUGUAUUGUUUGAUAAUUGAGGUGGGUUUGUUCUCUAAUUUCAUAAAUGUAAGUUUUCUUCAUGAUUCGUGCUUUAUAGCUGCAAAAUCUUUAUUUAAAAUUCGUUUGUUCAUCAAUUAGGGUUUUUCAAAACCUGGAUAUGAUCAUUCUUUUCCAUAGAUGUUCCAAUACUGUUUCCAAGCUUUGAAAUUGAUGUGGAAUUUAUUACAGAUACGGUAUUAAUGGCCAAAACUGAAUAUGAGUAUCACAUAAUUCUGAUUUUUUUUGGGUAUGGAUUUUGAGUUUUAUACCUUUUCAAUAUGCUUUCACAUUCUUUUCCAUGCCAGACUAUUUUAUUUUACUAUAUUACUAGAUUACUAGAGUAAAAAGUGUGUCUUUGACUAUAUAAUUUAAAGUACGGGAAUCUACUGGGGUUUGUAUGCAAGUUCAGGGACACAAUGAUGCAUUUGCCUUAGAAUUGUUGGUAUCGUGAAAGCAACAGGUUCAUCCUCAGUUUCUUGAGCAAGCAAGGAUGCCUUUGCCACUUGAAAUGGCGCAAGAGCCUGUUUACGUGAAUGCCAAAAAAUACCAUGCGAUAUUAAGGCGAAGGCAAUCCUGUGCAAAAGUAGAGCUUGAGAAGAAACUUAUAAAAGACAGAAAGCCUUAUCUUCAUGAAUCACGGCAUCAGCAUGCUAUGACAAGGGUAAGGGGCUCCGGUGGUCGUUUCAAAGGAAACUGACGUUAAUAAGAACACAACAGGUUCGGGUUCAAGUUCUACCAUGUCAUCAUCCCAGUCGGUGAAUUCAAACCGGGUGCACUUGAGCAAUGGAAAAGUAAAGCGGUUACUCAAGGAUCAAGUUUACCAAACGGAAUGGUUUCUUCUUCUAAAAGCAAGUUCGAUGAUAAAAUAGAAGCAUCUUAUGCUAAAACGUAUUUCCAUUACUACGGGCAACUGCUUCAUCAGCAAAAUAUGAUGCAGGAUUAUGUGAGAACAGGUCAAUAUAUAUCGCUUUCUUUUUCUUUUUUGAGUUGCAUGUAUC
Molecule: long non-coding RNA, 1494 nt
Filed under: Helianthus annuus (common sunflower)
Lineage: Eukaryota; Viridiplantae; Streptophyta; Magnoliopsida; Asterales; Asteraceae
Source: RNAcentral